CAGAAUAUUCUGGGGGCGGAUAUCUCACUUUAUGAGUGCUCUGUUGGUGUGAGAUCUGCAGUAAGAGCUUUGAGAAUGCCUGAAGUCAUUGCCUCUUGUCAUCUUGAGAGGUUUGUUCUGAUGGUUCGUUGUAGCAGGAGAGUCAAGGGCAGUUAGGAUUCUCCCUAUUUAGAAAGGAGGAGAAAUGCAGCCGGCUUGAGGAGGGUCCUGUUGAGCUGAUUACCAUGAGCCGCCCCAAACCAGAACUGAUCAAGCUCUGCUGGCAGCGUCUUUAGAACUUGGGUGGCCCCAUUCGAAGCUGAAAAAAAAUCAACAAAAGGGCAAGGGUGGGGAGAUUUCAUGCACACCCUUGAAUAAAGGAGUGAUGGUUUUCAAACUCUA
Non-coding RNA from Mus caroli (Ryukyu mouse), 381 nucleotides. NCBI's taxonomy places the organism in Eukaryota, Metazoa, Chordata, Mammalia, Rodentia, Muridae. The record is from RefSeq and is a predicted model, not a curated record.